GGAUACUUGUCCACGCAAACUGUAACAAAUCAUACAAUUGAACAAUGUUAACUGGUCAGGCAUGUCUUCUUUCUCAUUAUCAAACAAACCGGAAAUAUAUUAUCGUUGAGGAGUAGGCGAAGUCACAAAAGGUGCGGCACUCAUACCCAGUCCGUCUCAAGGAGUUGCGGUUCAUUUAUCAUGAAGUAUUAAACAAUAAUUGAUUAUUUAUAGACAAAGAAACUGGUGAGACAUAAGAAUUUAAAUAUUGUGAACACCUCGAGUUUCUGGAGAAUCAAUUUUUUAUCAGUGAAUCAAUUUUUUAAAAUUUAUAUGAUUUUAUUAUUGAGUGGAUAAUAUUCGCAAAAUUCUGGAGUUUCGGGGGAUUGUUUAUAAUUUUAUAAUGGCGUUGAAAUCCAUGACCCUGGAAUUACCACAACAAGUUCUUUGUUUUUUUUUUAACGACGCGAAACCAGAACUCUUCGUCAUAGAUGAUAUGACUAAAAAUGACUGGUUUUGUUCGAAUCCCUACAGCGAAUAAAAAAACUCGAUAAAAGAGAAUCAAAGAGAUCUCUAAUGGAAAAUUAAAUAGACCUUGACUGAAUUUUGCCGAGCAAUGGAAAAAAGAAAACUAUGAAGAAAUCGAAAGAGAGGAAUAAAAAGUGAAACCUGCACUUGUACGAGAAGGCUGCCAACAAUUCUCAACAUUAGCUUGAGGUAUCUCAAUACCACAGUGAAAGGGAGAGUCAGUGCCAGUGAAAAUGUAAAGAUUGUGUCUAACCAUUGCAUGUUACCCGAUGGAAUAUUUUAUUGUAAUUUACCGGCUUUUCCAUCUCGUUUUUUCUAUCUAAAAUCGAUGUAGAUGAUAAUCAUAUUGAUAAUAAUUUUUUCCUUCAUCUUCAACCGAUUUCACUUUAAAAUCUCUUUGAUAAAAUCUAAAAAUGUCAAUAAAUGAAGAAAAAGGUUUAUAAAUUGUAUAAAAAAUAAGAAAGAGAAGGGGCUCAACAUAAAGUUGAAAAUUUUACUAUAAUAAUCUAGUAUAAACUCGAGGAAAAAUAGAAAUCGAAAGUAAAUAAAAAAAUAAUUUGUUCAGCAAAUGGAAAACCGGAAUUGCAAUGGAUCCAUUCGGAAGUUAAAACACAGAUAAAGUAUAAAGUAACAUUGACAUGUGUUCGACUGCUAGGAGUGGCCAACUCGUUAUUUCUAAAUGCGAAUGAUAUUUAUUUAUCAUUUGAUAGUCAAAUCGCCUCAAUUUGCGGUUUGAAAGCGCUAUUGCAAUUCUUGCAAUGAGAUACUCUGUAAUACUUGUGGCUUCAAUGUGCAUUGAACACAGUCAAUUGAUAUUGAGAUUUAGAUGUCCAUUGGAAGUUAUCGACUGCAACGAUUCGUUUAAUGUAUGUCUCUGAAUGUUCGCGCAGGCAUAUGAAAUAUCAUUUGUUCAGCGAGACUAUCGGUCAAAGAAGUAUCUAUAUCCUGUGGAAAUUACUAAGGAAUAAAUUGCGUUGGAGCGCGUAUCAGUGAUGAAUGGACGGGAAAAUAGAAUUAAUCGAAAUUACUCGAUCAGAAUUGAGAGAAAAUUUUAUCGCCAUUUUCAAAGUUUUUAUUAUUCAUUGCUCACGUUAAUUCUUUAAGCCCCGGGUGAAAAAAAAAUUGUAAUCGGAAUGUUUUUUCCAAAUUUUCAAAA
This is a long non-coding RNA of Fopius arisanus, 1663 nucleotides long. RefSeq lists it as uncharacterized. Lineage: Eukaryota; Metazoa; Arthropoda; Insecta; Hymenoptera; Braconidae. The transcript has 3 exons. The record is from RefSeq and is a predicted model, not a curated record.